UGGGGAAUCUUGGACAAUGGGGGCAACCCUGAUCCAGCGACGCCGCGUGGGUGAAGAAGGCCUUAGGGUUGUAAAGCCCUUUCACCGGGGAGGAUGAUGACGUUACCCGGAGAAGAAGCACCGGCUAACUCCGUGCCAGCAGCCGCGGUAAGACGGAGGGUGCUAGCGUUGUUCGGAAUCACUGGGCGUAAAGGGCGCGUAGGCGGCUUGGGCAGUCAGAUGUGAAAGCCCGGGGCUCAACCCCGGAAUUGCAUUUGAUACUCCCAGGCUGGAGGUCGGAAGAGGAGGGUGGAAUACCCAGUGUAGAGGUGAAAUUCGUAGAUAUUGGGUGGAACACCGGUGGCGAAAGCGGCUCUCUGGUCCGAACCUGACGCUGAGGCGCGAAAGCGUGGGGAGCAAACAGGAUUAGAUACC
Molecule: ribosomal RNA, 414 nt
Filed under: uncultured prokaryote
Description: bacterial SSU rRNA
Rfam family: Bacterial small subunit ribosomal RNA
Source: RNAcentral